Molecule: ribosomal RNA, 424 nt
Filed under: uncultured bacterium
Lineage: Bacteria
Description: partial 16S ribosomal RNA
Rfam family: Bacterial small subunit ribosomal RNA
Source: RNAcentral
AAUUUUGGACAAUGGGGGAAACCCUGAUCCAGCCAUCCCGCGUGUAUGAAUAAGGCCAUCGGGUUNUAAAGUACUUUUGGCAGAGANGAAAAGGUAUCUCCUAAUACGAGAUACUGCUGACGGUAUCCGCAGAAUAAGCACCGGCUAACUACGUGACAGAAGCCGCGGUAAUACGUAGGGUGCAAGCGUGAAUCGGAAUAACUGGGCGUAAAGCGUGUGUAGGCGGUUCGAAAAGAAAGAUGGGACAUCCCAGGGCUCAACCUUGGAACUGCAUUUUUAACUGCCGAGCUAGAGUAUGUCAGAGGGGGGUAGAAUUCCACGUGUAGCAGUGAAAUGCGUAGAUAUGUGGAGGAAUACCGAUGGCGAAGGCAGCCCCCUGGGAUAAUACUGACGCUCAGACACGAAAGCGUGGGGAGCAAACAGG